This 516-nucleotide long non-coding RNA is filed under the name Mytilus galloprovincialis (Mediterranean mussel). The record is from RNAcentral. Lineage: Eukaryota; Metazoa; Mollusca; Bivalvia; Mytilida; Mytilidae.
GGGGCACUAGCUGUCAAAUUCAUGGUAACCGAUUUGACUCAAAUUCUCAUAUUUGAUUUAUAACAAUGUAAAACAUUUAUCCAAACUAUCAAAAGUCUAAAAUAAACAGUUAACAGAGCAUGGGUUAGAUAAUAUAUAGGUUCGUUUCGUGAGUAUUUUAGUCCAGACGCCAUCUAAUUAACUAUCGAUUUGACCUCAGAUGACCAUAUAAGCGAUGUAAACAAAAAUAAAGAUACGAAUAGAUUAAACCAACACGUGCAAUUGAAUUUGUAUAGGUCUGUUUGAUUUAAUUUUAUAGAUUAAAAAUAGAUGUUUCUCAUUGUUUUCAACCGUAUAAGAAUGAUUUUAUGUGCAUCGAAUUAGUAAUCAAAUGAUUUACCGUAGUUUCACUUUCAUUGUUGACAUUCUUUUUCUUUAAAUAACCAGUACACGUGCAAUGCAUGCUUUGUCAAUCUCUCGCUAGGGGUUAACUUGAAGUUCACAUGAAUACGGAUUUAAAGAGGUCGACUCAUUCAC